CCUGAACGCUGGCGGCGUGGCUAAGACAUGCAAGUCGAACGGGUGUAGCAAUACACCAGUGGCGGACGGGUGAGUAAUGAAUCGCUAAUGUGCCCCGGAGCCAGGGAUAGCUUCCCGAAAGGGAAGGUAAUACCUGAUGAUAUAACUUUGUCGCAUGGCAGAGUUCUCAAAGCAGCAAUGCACUCUGGGAGCAGGCGAUUUCGUAUCAGCAGUUGGUGAGGUAACGGCUCACCAAGGCGACGACGCGUAGCCGGGCUGAGAGGUCGGCCGGCCACAUUGGGACUGAGACACUG
This 293-nucleotide ribosomal RNA is filed under the name uncultured bacterium. RNAcentral's name for it is "partial 16S ribosomal RNA". It matches the Rfam family "Bacterial small subunit ribosomal RNA", at positions 30 to 329 of the family's 1533-position model. The record is from RNAcentral.